This 498-nucleotide ribosomal RNA is filed under the name uncultured bacterium. RNAcentral describes it as "partial 16S ribosomal RNA". It matches the Rfam family "Bacterial small subunit ribosomal RNA", at positions 30 to 523 of the family's 1533-position model. The record is from RNAcentral.
AUUGAACGCUGGCGGCAGGCCUAACACAUGCAAGUCGAGCGGUUGAGGUAGCUUGCUACCGAAGCAGCGGCGAACGGGUGAGUAAUGCAUGGGAAUCUGCCUGGUAGUGGGGGACAACGUUUCGAAAGGAACGCUAAUACCGCAUACGCCCUACGGGGGAAAGGGGGGGAUCUUCGGACCUCUCGCUAUCAGAUGAGCCCAUGUCAGAUUAGCUUGUUGGGGAGGUAAAGGCUCACCAAGGCGACGAUCUGUAACUGGUCUGAGAGGAUGAUCAGUAAAACUGGAACUGAGAGACGGGCCAGACGCCUACGGGAGGCAGGAGGGGGGAAUAUUGGACAAUGGGGGCAACCCUGAUCCAGCCAUGCCGCGUGUGUGAAGAAGGCCUUCGGGUUGUAAAGCACUUUCAGUGGGGAGAAAGGUCAUUCACCUAAUACGUGAGUGAAUUGAUGUUACCCACAGAAGAAGCACCGGCUAACUCCGUGCCAGCAGCCGCAGUAA